Molecule: long non-coding RNA, 1185 nt
Organism: Brassica oleracea var. oleracea
Lineage: Eukaryota; Viridiplantae; Streptophyta; Magnoliopsida; Brassicales; Brassicaceae
Exons: 3
Source: RefSeq, a predicted model, not a curated record
CCUCUCCGUAGCCAUUGUUCCAUUCUCUCCAAAUCUCCGUUACGUUGCAGUAACUAUCCACUCUAAAAUCAUUGAUUCUGCUCUUUACACCUUCUUACAAGAUGUAUCCUUUCACCUCCUUUUGUUUUCGUCCUGUAUAAUCUAUUUCUCGAUUCUUAUUAUAUACUGUAAUCUACGAUUUCUUCAGUCGAAGAUCAAGCUAUGUCCAUGAGAUCUGCUAAGUCCUUCGGAAAGUCUUAUGUCACUGUGUAUUUCACCAACAUCUCCCCGGGUACAGCGGAAUCAGAACUAGGCUUCCGGUUGAUCCGUUUCUGGGAGACGAUAAGCACAGCUAAAGGUGGUUUGCUUAUUGGCUUUGAGCUUCUCCUUACAGGCAAGCAGAAAUGGCUACGCACAACUCGAAAUCUACCGCAUCAAUAUUUUUCUCCCGUUCUUAGUGGUUUGUAAAUUUGUCGUUUCAUCGCUCCAAUGUCACAAAGAAACUAUUCGAAUUUACAUUUCUUGCCACUACUCACAGGUUUCGCAGCUGCGGUUUGGACAUAGCUGCAACAGUUAUCUUCUUUUUUAAAAAAAAAAAACAGCUGUGAUCAAGUCAAUUUUUUCCAGGCAUCCAGAUGAUUAUUAACAAAAAAAAAUUGUUUGAGCUGGAAUCUGAACUUCGUGUCAUGGAAAGCCUCUGGCAGCUGAAACUGGGAUAAUUCUGUAUUCUUUUAUCUUUAACUUGGAUGGGGGCAACCACAGGUAUUAUUUUGUUGUUCAAAGAGUUGAAUCCAAACAGCCUUUAGGAGAAGAAGCAAAAAUUUACCUGAGAAAAGUUAUACAAGAGCUUUCUGUGUAGGUUUUUUUCUUAAAUACGUAGGUGAAACUCUGAACACCCUGCUCCUGCAAAAAGCCGCAUUUGAAUCUACAGAUUGAGAAUUCACUUACAAACUCAAACGAACAGCAAUGCUCUCUAUUCAGAGAUCAUGUUGAGAGAUCCCAGAGCUUUUUACACAGAUUUCUAUCAUGGCCGCUGAAACUGGAAGCACUGCUCUUUUCACUGUGAUUUGUAGCUUUGCUUCAAGGCGUGUACCCUUUUGCGCAAACAAGUUCUUCAAGACUGUACUUGGUUUCAGUUUUGUCAUACUGCUUUGGGCUGUGGAUAGACUCGGGAGGUGAUUACUUAGCGCAUACUUCUUCCAUGGG